AACUGCUUUUGUAUGGGGAUAAAGUCAAUCACGUGUGAUUGUUUGCAGGUACCAUACGAAUAAGGACCGGCUAAUUCCGUGCCAGCAGCCGCGGUAAUACGGAAGGUCCGGGCGUUAUCCGGAUUUAUUGGGUUUAAAGGGAGCGUAGGCUGGAGAUUAAGUGUGUUGUGAAAUGUAGACGCCCAACGUCUGACUUGCAGCGCAUACUGGGUUCCUUGAGUACGCACAACGUUGGCGGAAUUCGUCGUGUAGCGGUGAAAUGCUUAGAUAUGACGAAGAACUCCGAUUGCGAAGGCAGCUGACGGGAGCGCAACUGACGCUGAAGCUCGAAGGUGCGGGUAUCGAACAGGAUUAGAUACCCUGGUAGUCC
This 370-nucleotide ribosomal RNA is filed under the name uncultured Prevotella sp. RNAcentral's name for it is "bacterial SSU rRNA". It matches the Rfam family "Bacterial small subunit ribosomal RNA", at positions 428 to 796 of the family's 1533-position model. Lineage: Bacteria; Pseudomonadati; Bacteroidota; Bacteroidia; Bacteroidales; Prevotellaceae. The record is from RNAcentral.